RNAcentral lists this ribosomal RNA (2787 nucleotides) under Escherichia coli. RNAcentral's name for it is "bacterial LSU rRNA". It matches the Rfam family "Bacterial large subunit ribosomal RNA". The record is from RNAcentral. Lineage: Bacteria; Pseudomonadati; Pseudomonadota; Gammaproteobacteria; Enterobacterales; Enterobacteriaceae.
AGCGUACACGGUGGAUGCCCUGGCAGUCAGAGGCGAUGAAGGACGUGCUAAUCUGCGAUAAGCGUCGGUAAGGUGAUAUGAACCGUUAUAACCGGCGAUUUCCGAAUGGGGAAACCCAGUGUGUUUCGACACACUAUCAUUAACUGAAUCCAUAGGUUAAUGAGGCGAACCGGGGGAACUGAAACAUCUAAGUACCCCGAGGAAAAGAAAUCAACCGAGAUUCCCCCAGUAGCGGCGAGCGAACGGGGAGCAGCCCAGAGCCUGAAUCAGUGUGUGUGUUAGUGGAAGCGUCUGGAAAGGCGCGCGAUACAGGGUGACAGCCCCGUACACAAAAAUGCACAUGCUGUGAGCUCGAUGAGUAGGGCGGGACACGUGGUAUCCUGUCUGAAUAUGGGGGGACCAUCCUCCAAGGCUAAAUACUCCUGACUGACCGAUAGUGAACCAGUACCGUGAGGGAAAGGCGAAAAGAACCCCGGCGAGGGGAGUGAAAAAGAACCUGAAACCGUGUACGUACAAGCAGUGGGAGCACGCUUAGGCGUGUGACUGCGUACCUUUUGUAUAAUGGGUCAGCGACUUAUAUUCUGUAGCAAGGUUAACCGAAUAGGGGAGCCGAAGGGAAACCGAGUCUUAACUGGGCGUUAAGUUGCAGGGUAUAGACCCGAAACCCGGUGAUCUAGCCAUGGGCAGGUUGAAGGUUGGGUAACACUAACUGGAGGACCGAACCGACUAAUGUUGAAAAAUUAGCGGAUGACUUGUGGCUGGGGGUGAAAGGCCAAUCAAACCGGGAGAUAGCUGGUUCUCCCCGAAAGCUAUUUAGGUAGCGCCUCGUGAAUUCAUCUCCGGGGGUAGAGCACUGUUUCGGCAAGGGGGUCAUCCCGACUUACCAACCCGAUGCAAACUGCGAAUACCGGAGAAUGUUAUCACGGGAGACACACGGCGGGUGCUAACGUCCGUCGUGAAGAGGGAAACAACCCAGACCGCCAGCUAAGGUCCCAAAGUCAUGGUUAAGUGGGAAACGAUGUGGGAAGGCCCAGACAGCCAGGAUGUUGGCUUAGAAGCAGCCAUCAUUUAAAGAAAGCGUAAUAGCUCACUGGUCGAGUCGGCCUGCGCGGAAGAUGUAACGGGGCUAAACCAUGCACCGAAGCUGCGGCAGCGACGCUUAUGCGUUGUUGGGUAGGGGAGCGUUCUGUAAGCCUGCGAAGGUGUGCUGUGAGGCAUGCUGGAGGUAUCAGAAGUGCGAAUGCUGACAUAAGUAACGAUAAAGCGGGUGAAAAGCCCGCUCGCCGGAAGACCAAGGGUUCCUGUCCAACGUUAAUCGGGGCAGGGUGAGUCGACCCCUAAGGCGAGGCCGAAAGGCGUAGUCGAUGGGAAACAGGUUAAUAUUCCUGUACUUGGUGUUACUGCGAAGGGGGGACGGAGAAGGCUAUGUUGGCCGGGCGACGGUUGUCCCGGUUUAAGCGUGUAGGCUGGUUUUCCAGGCAAAUCCGGAAAAUCAAGGCUGAGGCGUGAUGACGAGGCACUACGGUGCUGAAGCAACAAAUGCCCUGCUUCCAGGAAAAGCCUCUAAGCAUCAGGUAACAUCAAAUCGUACCCCAAACCGACACAGGUGGUCAGGUAGAGAAUACCAAGGCGCUUGAGAGAACUCGGGUGAAGGAACUAGGCAAAAUGGUGCCGUAACUUCGGGAGAAGGCACGCUGAUAUGUAGGUGAAGUCCCUCGCGGAUGGAGCUGAAAUCAGUCGAAGAUACCAGCUGGCUGCAACUGUUUAUUAAAAACACAGCACUGUGCAAACACGAAAGUGGACGUAUACGGUGUGACGCCUGCCCGGUGCCGGAAGGUUAAUUGAUGGGGUUAGCGCAAGCGAAGCUCUUGAUCGAAGCCCCGGUAAACGGCGGCCGUAACUAUAACGGUCCUAAGGUAGCGAAAUUCCUUGUCGGGUAAGUUCCGACCUGCACGAAUGGCGUAAUGAUGGCCAGGCUGUCUCCACCCGAGACUCAGUGAAAUUGAACUCGCUGUGAAGAUGCAGUGUACCCGCGGCAAGACGGAAAGACCCCGUGAACCUUUACUAUAGCUUGACACUGAACAUUGAGCCUUGAUGUGUAGGAUAGGUGGGAGGCUUUGAAGUGUGGACGCCAGUCUGCAUGGAGCCGACCUUGAAAUACCACCCUUUAAUGUUUGAUGUUCUAACGUGGACCCGUAAUCCGGGUUGCGGACAGUGUCUGGUGGGUAGUUUGACUGGGGCGGUCUCCUCCUAAAGAGUAACGGAGGAGCACGAAGGUUGGCUAAUCCUGGUCGGACAUCAGGAGGUUAGUGCAAUGGCAUAAGCCAGCUUGACUGCGAGCGUGACGGCGCGAGCAGGUGCGAAAGCAGGUCAUAGUGAUCCGGUGGUUCUGAAUGGAAGGGCCAUCGCUCAACGGAUAAAAGGUACUCCGGGGAUAACAGGCUGAUACCGCCCAAGAGUUCAUAUCGACGGCGGUGUUUGGCACCUCGAUGUCGGCUCAUCACAUCCUGGGGCUGAAGUAGGUCCCAAGGGUAUGGCUGUUCGCCAUUUAAAGUGGUACGCGAGCUGGGUUUAGAACGUCGUGAGACAGUUCGGUCCCUAUCUGCCGUGGGCGCUGGAGAACUGAGGGGGGCUGCUCCUAGUACGAGAGGACCGGAGUGGACGCAUCACUGGUGUUCGGGUUGUCAUGCCAAUGGCACUGCCCGGUAGCUAAAUGCGGAAGAGAUAAGUGCUGAAAGCAUCUAAGCACGAAACUUGCCCCGAGAUGAGUUCUCCCUGACUCCUUGA